This 89-nucleotide ribosomal RNA is filed under the name Salinivibrio sp. IB282. RNAcentral's name for it is "partial 16S ribosomal RNA". It matches the Rfam family "Bacterial small subunit ribosomal RNA", at positions 1 to 82 of the family's 1533-position model. The record is from RNAcentral. Lineage: Bacteria; Pseudomonadati; Pseudomonadota; Gammaproteobacteria; Vibrionales; Vibrionaceae.
ACUUAAAUUGAAGAGUUUGAUCAUGGCUCAGAUUGAACGCUGGCGGCAGGCCUAACACAUGCAAGUCGAGCGGAAACGGCAGCAUUGAA